AUUGAACGCUGGCGGCAUGCCUUACACAUGCAAGUCGAACGGCAGCACGGGAGCAAUCCUGGUGGCGAGUGGCGAACGGGUGAGUAAUAUAUCGGAACGUGCCCAGUCGUGGGGGAUAACGUAGCGAAAGCUACGCUAAUACCGCAUACGAUCUAUGGAUGAAAGCGGGGGAUCGCAAGACCUCGCGCGAUUGGAGCGGCCGAUAUCAGAUUAGGUAGUUGGUGAGGUAAAGGCUCACCAAGGCGACGAUCUGUAGCGGGUCUGAGAGGAUGAUCCGCCACACUGGAACUGAGACACGGUCCAGACUCCUACGGGAGGCAGCAGUGGGGAAUUUUGGACAAUGGGCGCAAGCCUGAUCCAGCCAUGCCGCGUGAGUGAAGAAGGCCUCGG
RNAcentral lists this ribosomal RNA (390 nucleotides) under uncultured bacterium. Its description in RNAcentral is "bacterial SSU rRNA". It matches the Rfam family "Bacterial small subunit ribosomal RNA", at positions 30 to 420 of the family's 1533-position model. The record is from RNAcentral.